AAAAAAAGAAAANNNCNNNAAGGGGCAGCGCGAGCUUUGAUCGGCCGAGCUACGGAGAAGGGGGAGUUUACUGCUCUCGCUAUUAGAUGAGCCUAAGUCGGAUUAGCUAGAUGGUGGGGUAAAGGCCUACCAUGGCGACGAUCUGUAGCUGGUCUGAGAGGAUGAUCAGCCACACCGGGACUGAGACACGGCCCGGACUCCUACGGGAGGCAGCAGUGGGGAAUAUUGGACAAUGGGGGAAACCCUGAUCCAGCCAUGCCGCGUGUGUGAAGAAGGCCUUUUGGUUGUAAAGCACUUUAAGCAGUGAAGAAGACUCUUCGGUUAAUACCCGGAGACGAUGACAUUAGCUGCAGAAUAAGCACCGGCUAACUCUGUGCCAGCAGCCGCGGUAAUACAGAGGGUGCAAGCGUUAAUCGGAAUUACUGGGCGUAAAGCGAGCGUAGGUGGCUUGAUAAGUCAGAUGUGAAAUCCCCGGGCUUAACCUGGGAACUGCAUCUGAAACUGUUAGGCUAGAGUAGGUGAGAGGGAAGUAGAAUUUCAGGUGUAGCGGUGAAAUGCGUAGAGAUCUGAAGGAAUACCGAUGGCGAAGGCAGCUUCCUGGCAUCAUACUGACACUGAGGCUCGAAAGCGUGGGUAGCAAACAGGAUUAGAUACCCUGGUAGUCCACGCCGUAAACGAUGUCUACUAGUCGUUGGGUCCCUUGAGGACUUAGUGACGCAGCUAACGCAAUAAGUAGACCGNCUGGGGAGUACGGCCGCAAGGUUAAAACUCAAAUGAAUUGACGGGGGCCCGCACAAGCGGUGGAGCAUGUGGUUUAAUUCGAUGCAACGCGAAGAACCUUACCUGGUCUUGACAUAUCUAGAAUCUUGCAGAGAUGCGGGAAGUGCUUCGGGAAUUAGAAUACGGGUGCUGCAUGGUUGUCGCAAGUCGUGUCGUGAGAUGUGGGGUAAGUCCCGCAAGAA
Molecule: ribosomal RNA, 962 nt
Filed under: metagenome
Description: bacterial SSU rRNA
Rfam family: Bacterial small subunit ribosomal RNA
Source: RNAcentral